This 457-nucleotide ribosomal RNA is filed under the name uncultured Serratia sp. Its description in RNAcentral is "bacterial SSU rRNA". It matches the Rfam family "Bacterial small subunit ribosomal RNA", at positions 38 to 496 of the family's 1533-position model. The record is from RNAcentral. Lineage: Bacteria; Pseudomonadati; Pseudomonadota; Gammaproteobacteria; Enterobacterales; Yersiniaceae.
GGAGCCGGGCGGCAGCUACACAUGCAGUCGAGCGGUAGCACAAGAGAGCUUGCUCUCUGGGUGACGAGCGGCGGACGGGUGAGUAAUGUCUGGGAAACUGCCUGAUGGCGGGGGAUAACUAGUGGAAACGGUAGCUAAUACCGCAUAACGUCGCAAGACCAAAGUGGGGGACCUUCGGGCCUCACGCCAUCAGAUGUGCCCAGGUGGGAUUAGCUGGUAGGUGGGGUAACGGCUCACCUAGGCGACGAUCCCUAGCUGGUCUGAGAGGAUGACCAGCCACACUGGAACUGAGACACGGUCCAGACUCCUACGGGAGGCAGCAGUGGGGAAUAUUGCACAAUGGGCGCAAGCCUGAUGCAGCCAUGCCGCGUGUGUGAAGAAGGCCUUCGGGUUGUAAAGCACUUUCAGCGAGGAGGAAGGGUAAUGUGUUAAUAGGACAUUGCAAAGGGGGGCGGGG